GGGGUUGUGGCUCAGUGGCAGAGCUCUUACCUCACAUGUGUGAGGCACUGGGUUCGAUUCUCAGUAGUACCC
RNAcentral lists this transfer RNA (72 nucleotides) under Ictidomys tridecemlineatus (thirteen-lined ground squirrel). RNAcentral's name for it is "Spermophilus tridecemlineatus (thirteen-lined ground squirrel) tRNA". It matches the Rfam family "tRNA". From Rfam's summary of the family: Transfer RNA (tRNA) molecules are approximately 80 nucleotides in length. Their secondary structure includes four short double-helical elements and three loops (D, anti-codon, and T loops). The record is from Rfam by way of RNAcentral. Lineage: Eukaryota; Metazoa; Chordata; Mammalia; Rodentia; Sciuridae.